Homo sapiens (human) is the source of this 71-nucleotide transfer RNA. It matches the Rfam family "tRNA". From Rfam's summary of the family: Transfer RNA (tRNA) molecules are approximately 80 nucleotides in length. Their secondary structure includes four short double-helical elements and three loops (D, anti-codon, and T loops). Further hydrogen bonds mediate the characteristic L-shaped molecular structure. tRNAs have two regions of fundamental functional importance: the anti-codon, which is responsible for specific mRNA codon recognition, and the 3' end, to which the tRNAs corresponding amino acid is attached (by aminoacyl-tRNA synthetases). tRNAs cope with the degeneracy of the genetic code in two manners: having more than one tRNA (with a specific anti-codon) for a particular amino acid; and 'wobble' base-pairing, i.e. permitting non-standard base-pairing at the 3rd anti-codon position. Lineage: Eukaryota; Metazoa; Chordata; Mammalia; Primates; Hominidae. The record is from Rfam.
GUUAAUGUAGCUUAAUUAUUUAAAGCAAGACACUGAAAAUGUCUAGAUGGGCUUAUACAGCCCCGUAAACA